UACAGAGGUCCCGAGCGUUGUUCGGAUUCAUUGGGCGUAAAGGGCGCGUAGGCGGUGCGGUACGGUUUCGGUGAAAUCCCUCGGCCCAACCGAGGAACAGCCGGAGCUACGGCCGGACUAGACGGCAUCAGGGGACAGUGGAACUCCCGGUGGAGCGGUGAAAUGCGUAGAUAUCGGGAGGAACGCCGGUGGCGAAAGCGACUGUCUGGGGUGCCUGUGACGCUGAGGCGCGAAAGUGUGGGGAGCGAACAGG
RNAcentral lists this ribosomal RNA (253 nucleotides) under uncultured bacterium. RNAcentral's name for it is "partial 16S ribosomal RNA". It matches the Rfam family "Bacterial small subunit ribosomal RNA", at positions 524 to 776 of the family's 1533-position model. The record is from RNAcentral.